Molecule: ribosomal RNA, 450 nt
Filed under: uncultured bacterium
Lineage: Bacteria
Description: bacterial SSU rRNA
Rfam family: Bacterial small subunit ribosomal RNA
Source: RNAcentral
GAUGAACGCUGGCGGCGUGCUUAACACAUGCAAGUCGAGCGAAGCACUUUUGCGGAUUUCUUUGGAUUGAAGCGACUGUGACUGAGCGGCGGACGGGUGAGUAACGCGUGGGUAACCUGCCUCAUACAGGGGGAUAACAGUUGGAAACGGCUGCUAAUACCGCAUAAGCGCACAGUACCGCAUGGUACCGUGUGAAAAACUCCGGUGGUAUGAGAUGGACCCGCGUCUGAUUAGCUAGUUGGUGGGGUAACGGCCUACCAAGGCGACGAUCAGUAGCCGACCUGAGAGGGUGACCGGCCACAUUGGGACUGAGACACGGCCCAAACUCCUACGGGAGGCAGCAGUGGGGAAUAUUGCACAAUGGGGGAAACCCUGAUGCAGCGACGCCGCGUGAGCGAUGAAGUAUUUCGGUAUGUAAAGCUCUAUCAGCAGGGAAGAAAAUGACGGUAC